Long non-coding RNA from Wyeomyia smithii (pitcher-plant mosquito), 321 nucleotides. RefSeq lists it as uncharacterized. The record is from RefSeq and is a predicted model, not a curated record. The transcript is spliced from 3 exons. NCBI's taxonomy places the organism in Eukaryota, Metazoa, Arthropoda, Insecta, Diptera, Culicidae.
UGUAUUUCACAUAAGAGUUGAAUUGAUAGGAGACAAUACAUAGCAAAUAUAUAGCAUCGAAAUUUGUAAUUUGUACUUGGAAUAUACGUGCAGCAGUUCUUUCGAUUAAAAAGAGGUUCCAGUGAUAUACACAAUGGAUCAAUCUACAAGUGGAGCAAUCAAUGCUGUGGCAGCAGCUACAAAUUCUAUUGAGUCGGCUGUAAUGGAUAUCAACGACAAACAAAACGUAGAAGAACCUGUGGCUGGCCCUUCCAAAGGAUUGCAAAACGCGACUAAUCGGAAAAUAGUAACUGCAGAAGAUAAAAAACACCGCGAAGAUAC